GUAGGUGGCAAGCGUUGUCCGGAAUUAUUGGGCGUAAAGGGCUCGCAGGCGGUUUCUUAAGUCUGAUGUGAAAGCCCCCGGCUCAACCGGGGAGGGUCAUUGGAAACUGGGGAACUUGAGUGCAGAAGAGGAGAGUGGAAUUCCACGUGUAGCGGUGAAAUGCGUAGAGAUGUGGAGGAACACCAGUGGCGAAGGCGACUCUCUGGUCUGUAACUGACGCUGAGGAGCGAAAGCGUGGGGAGCGAACAGGGAUUAGAUACCCUGGUAGUCCACGCCGUAAACGAUGAGUGCUAAGUGUUAGGGGGUUUCCGCCCCCUUAGUGCUGCAGCUAACGCAUUAAGCACUCCGCCUGGGGAGUACGGUCGCAAGACUG
Molecule: ribosomal RNA, 373 nt
Filed under: uncultured organism
Description: partial 16S ribosomal RNA
Rfam family: Bacterial small subunit ribosomal RNA
Source: RNAcentral